RNAcentral lists this ribosomal RNA (301 nucleotides) under uncultured bacterium. RNAcentral describes it as "partial 16S ribosomal RNA". It matches the Rfam family "Bacterial small subunit ribosomal RNA", at positions 509 to 807 of the family's 1533-position model. The record is from RNAcentral.
CAGUAGCCGCGGUAAUACGUAGGUGGCAAGCGUUGUCCGGAAUUAUUGGGCGUAAAGCGCACGUAGGCGGCUUUGUAAGUCAGAGGUGAAAGCCUGGAGCUCAACUCCAGAACUGCCUUUGAGACUGCAUCGCUUGAAUCCAGGGGAGGUGAGUGGAAUUCCGAGUGUAGAGGUGAAAUUCGUAGAUAUUCGGAAGAACACCAGUGGCGAAGGCGGCUCACUGGACUGGUAUUGACGCUGAGGUGCGAAAGCGUGGGGAGCAAACAGGAUUAGAUACCCCGGUAGUCCCUGUCUCUUAUAC